GUGCUGGCUUCAGCAGCACGCGUACUAAAAAUUGGAACGAUACAGAGAAGAUUAGCAUGGCACCUACCCAAAGAUGACAUGCAAAUUUGUGAGGCGUUUCAUGUUUUU
RNAcentral lists this small nuclear RNA (108 nucleotides) under Castor canadensis (American beaver). The record is from RNAcentral. Lineage: Eukaryota; Metazoa; Chordata; Mammalia; Rodentia; Castoridae.